This 1100-nucleotide ribosomal RNA is filed under the name Escherichia coli. RNAcentral describes it as "partial 23S ribosomal RNA". It matches the Rfam family "Bacterial large subunit ribosomal RNA", at positions 50 to 1191 of the family's 2925-position model. Lineage: Bacteria; Pseudomonadati; Pseudomonadota; Gammaproteobacteria; Enterobacterales; Enterobacteriaceae. The record is from RNAcentral.
UGAAGGACGUGCUAAUCUGCGAUAAGCGUCGGUAAGGUGAUAUGAACCGUUAUAACCGGCGAUUUCCGAAUGGGGAAACCCAGUGUGUUUCGACACACUAUCAUUAACUGAAUCCAUAGGUUAAUGAGGCGAACCGGGGGAACUGAAACAUCUAAGUACCCCGAGGAAAAGAAAUCAACCGAGAUUCCCCCAGUAGCGGCGAGCGAACGGGGAACAGCCCAGAGCCUGAAUCAGUGUGUGUGUUAGUGGAAGCGUCUGGAAAGGCGCGCGAUACAGGGUGACAGCCCCGUACACAAAAAUGCACAUGCUGUGAGCUCGAUGAGUAGGGCGGGACACGUGGUAUCCUGUCUGAAUAUGGGGGGACCAUCCUCCAAGGCUAAAUACUCCUGACUGACCGAUAGUGAACCAGUACCGUGAGGGAAAGGCGAAAAGAACCCCGGCGAGGGGAGUGAAAAAGAACCUGAAACCGUGUACGUACAAGCAGUGGGAGCACGCUUAGGCGUGUGACUGCGUACCUUUUGUAUAAUGGGUCAGCGACUUAUAUUCUGUAGCAAGGUUAACCGAAUAGGGGAGCCGAAGGGAAACCGAGUCUUAACUGGGCGUUAAGUUGCAGGGUAUAGACCCGAAACCCGGUGAUCUAGCCAUGGGCAGGUUGAAGGUUGGGUAACACUAACUGGAGGACCGAACCGACUAAUGUUGAAAAAUUAGCGGAUGACUUGUGGCUGGGGGUGAAAGGCCAAUCAAACCGGGAGAUAGCUGGUUCUCCCCGAAAGCUAUUUAGGUAGCGCCUCGUGAAUUCAUCUCCGGGGGUAGAGCACUGUUUCGGCAAGGGGGUCAUCCCGACUUACCAACCCGAUGCAAACUGCGAAUACCGGAGAAUGUUAUCACGGGAGACACACGGCGGGUGCUAACGUCCGUCGUGAAGAGGGAAACAACCCAGACCGCCAGCUAAGGUCCCAAAGUCAUGGUUAAGUGGGAAACGAUGUGGGAAGGCCCAGACAGCCAGGAUGUUGGCUUAGAAGCAGCCAUCAUUUAAAGAAAGCGUAAUAGCUCACUGGUCGAGUCGGCCUGCGCGGAAGAUGUAACGGGGCUAAACCAUG